AACGUAGGAGACGAGCGUUAUCCGGAUUUACUGGGCGUAAAGCGCGUGCAGGCGGUUUAUUAAGUCACUUGUGAAAGCGCCCGGCUCAACUGGGCGAGGCCGUGUGAGACUGAUAGACCUGAGAGAGGUAGAGGCGAAUGGAAUUCCGGGUGGAGUGGUGAAAUGCGUAGAGAUCCGGAGGAACACCAGUGGCGAAGGCGAUUCGCUGGGCCUUCUCUGACGCUCAGACGCGACAGCAUGGGGAGCGAACGGG
RNAcentral lists this ribosomal RNA (253 nucleotides) under uncultured bacterium. Its description in RNAcentral is "partial 16S ribosomal RNA". It matches the Rfam family "Bacterial small subunit ribosomal RNA", at positions 524 to 776 of the family's 1533-position model. The record is from RNAcentral.